RNA transcript from Numida meleagris (helmeted guineafowl), 4679 nucleotides. It is a transcript of the gene named mab-21 like 3, with no coding region annotated. The transcript has 8 exons. The record is from RefSeq and is a predicted model, not a curated record. Lineage: Eukaryota; Metazoa; Chordata; Aves; Galliformes; Numididae.
GGUAGGAUUCCUGAAAAUAGAGGGUUCCAUCUUUUUCAGUGUCCAGCUCCCAUGGAGGCAGGUUGGGGAAGUAAAUGUGCCUAUAUAUCUUUGUGAAUAUUCCCUGAGUCUCUCAGCAAAAAGACAAAGGCAGCUUUGGUGCUCGGGAAGCACAGAGAGCAGUUUGAUUUGUAGAUUCUGGGGGAUUGGAUGUCCUCAGGUAUUGGUUCUCCAUUAAUGUACUUAGCGUUCAGCUCUUAAUGAGAAAUGAUAAUCACAAAAGAUACCCAGCAAUGAAAGAGCUUGCUCCAAGAUUCUGAGAUAGCAGCCAGUGCCUGUGGAUGUGCUGCCCUUUGCUGGCUGCUGUGGUGGUAAUGUCAGCCAAGGGAUGUCAAAGUUCAAUUUCCAGGGGAAAUAAAGAUUUUACUGGAAAGUAGAGUGUGCCUUCCUUAAUAAGGAAGCAGCAUUGGAUCUCAACCGUAUAUUCCAUCAUUGCUCUCCGUGUGCUGAUGUACCCUUUUUUAUAAAAGCCAACAACCCUCACUGGAUCGAUAAGUCCUGAUCAAUUGUUUUUCUCGCUGAAUUAUCCAUAUGGGGUCGUUAGCUGAGCUGCUGGCAGAAAGUGAGAGAGAGCGUUCAGCCUGUUUACUGUAAAGAGAGCGAAGCAAGCAACCAGGAGGGGACAGGCAGCAGGAUAUUUACUGUCAAUACAGCCGGAGAGAGAGAAGAGAUAUAAGGAGAAAGGAGCCGAGGCUGAAGACCGCAACUCAAAUGAAUGAUCAGAGCGUAAAAAUACCCAUGCGGUUUCCGAUGGAAAGUGGGUGGAUUGAAGACAACAAGGGAUAACUGAGAGUGUUUAACAAAUGGUUUAGUGAAGGGUUAGAGAGACAGGGAAGUACUUGUGGUGCACAGAAUGAUAGCGCUGUGCAUGAGCCUACUGGAUCUGCAAUGCAACCUGAAAGGAUCUGCCGAGACAAAGCAGUAACUGGGAUAUUUGUGGGUGUGCCUGCACACAAGACGUACCAUUUAAGAGUAAUCAUAGUAAAAAUAAUAAUGAUCAAGUUUAGAAAAUAGUAGUUGGAGUUAAUUUUCCUAAGCAGUUGGGAGUCACUGUUGUUACUCAGACCAAAGGAAAAAAAAAAGGCAUAUUUUCUUGCUUCUCUCUCCAUUUCUUCAUGCACAGAGGAAUUAGGUGAUCUGAGCUUUACAGGGCAAGAAGGCUCUGAGCAGCUGUCUCUGAGUGUCCUUCCUGUUUCCAGAUGCAGGCGAACAAGUGAAGAGUGAAUUCACACUUUAGAGAACAGUGAAGACCAUCUUGCCAUGAAACCAUUCACAGAUGAAGAUGUAGAAAUCUACAUCCAGAGCAAGGUGGAGCCACGCCAUUAUCUGGUUUCCAAAACAGUGGAGGAGGUGCAGAAAAUCAUCCAGCAACUGACCACAGAAAUCAGCUAUAAGGCCACACGAUUCCAGGCUAUCUCCAACUCUGGCAUUCACAAUGAGAAUAUUAAGGAUCAGCCAGCCUUACUGGCCAAGUGGUCAGCUCUGCUGCGGGGAAAGCGCCCGUUCCACCCGUCCAUCCAGGUCUUAGCACCCAGCCAAUUCCUCAUCACAGUCCCUCUGCGUGGUCUGACCGGGUACAGGGAAUGCCAGGUCCGACACUGGCGUUAUUACACCGUGCACGGAACCAAGCUACUCUCCUCUGUGCGAGACCCUGAGGAGCUGCAUCAAUGGCUCGAGGUGGAACAGUUCUCAAAAAGCCUUCAGCAGUGGCAUGAAACAGAUGUGAACAUUGAAGGUGAUCUGGUUCCAGCCAAAGUCCUUACCGUCUUCCGAGAGCUGGUGGAAAAGUCAAUUGUUUCCUGUAAUCUCUCCAAUAAAGUGACGGUGCUGGAGAGCUUCAGCUCAGUGGUCAGGGUGGCUGUGGAAACAUCAGAAUUCCCGGUUGAGGUGGAGCUGGCCCCUACCGUGGAGAUUCCAACUUGCUGGCCCGAGAAAGCUCGGUGGCCUCGUUGCCUCAAGCGUUGGCCGUCCCAGGAGAAAGUGCAGUGCAUCAAGUCACUUGGAUUUGACCUCUUGGCCCGCUCCAAUUAUCACUGGCAACUGUGCUUCUCCCGUGCUGAGCAUAUACUCAUGGAAGGCCUCGAUGAAGAUGGUGGUUGUCGCAUGAAAUGCUUCAGAGUCAUGAGGCAGAUGAAGGAAGAUGUCUGGUGUGCUGGAAAUAAGCCUGUCAUCACAGCUUAUCACCUUCAGACAGUGCUAUUCUGGACGUGCGAAAAAUACCCACGCACCAAGGAUUGGCGCUGCUUUCAUGAAGCCUUCCUGAGGCUGGUGCAGAAGCUGCACAAGUGUGUGAGCCAGCACUUCCUCAAGCAUUACUUUGUCAAGAACACCAAUCUGCUCAAAUAUGCCAACACCAGUGACCUGGACGUGGUGGCCAGCAAGCUCGCUGUCUUCUUAGAGAACCCUGUCUUCUGCCUGGACUAAGGCAGGAAAAAGCUUCCUCACCUCAACUUUGAGCAGUUUCCCCACCUCUUCUCCUCAUUGAUGGUGUUCUUGUCCUUCCAGUAGGUGUUGCAGCUGGCUUUCUGAGGCAGUUGGCAUCGAUGGCAUGAACAAAAUGUCAAGAUUGCAGUGGUGGGUGGUGAAAACUGAUGGAAGGCAUUGCUUGAUGCCCAGCCGAUCUAAUUUGCUUUCAACAGCAACAGCUUGCCUGGAAGCUACAGCCCGUGAAACCCAACCCUGUGUCAGUCAGAGCAGCAACUGCCUUGUUCUCUGCCUCCAGCUUUGUGGCACAUAAGCAGAAAGAUGGUGCAAAUAAGUUUCACUCUGCUGCCUACCCACUGUGCAACCUAGCACAUGGAUGGUGGCUGCCUCCUCCUUCCUCACAAGGACAGUGAGUUUAAUUCAUAGGAUCAUAGAGUGGCCUGGGUUGGAAGGGACCCUAAAGAUCAUUCCCUGACAACCUUGUAGGCCAGCUCUGCAGAAGAGCAGAGGAACAUUAUUUUGGAAGUAUGCUAAAGGCGGAAGCCUUCUAUGAGACAGUUUGUGAUGCCUCCAUCUACAGUCAAAUGGGAUCCUGCUCCUGUACAAAGAUAACCCUGCCAAUAGUGUUGAAUAGCUCAAGGGAAGCAGGAUGAAGAAUGCUGUUUUCUUCUUGCCUCCUCAUUUUUUUUUCUCCUCUACCUCCAUUUUUCUUCCUGUUACUUCAAGUAUAUUUUUCUUCAUGUUUGCCAGUCUUGUUAGUGCCAUACAAACAGGGGGCUUGCCCAGAGCUGAUUUCACUUGCACCCCUGGCUCCACCCAGCAGGCUGGAGGAGGAGCACGUCUUUCCCUAGUCUUAAACACCCAUGUCUUUCUGGGGCGUUGCAUAGGAGGAGAAUAUUUUUUCAAGGGCUCGUAGCUCCAACAUUCCCAGCGCUUUUAAUAUUAAGUAAAUCAGUUUUAGUGUUUCAAAAAGAACCAAGUGCUAGAAUGAGUAAAAUGAGUGUUGGUUUUAAUUGUAAUUAAAUCUCUGAAACUACACCAAAGUGCACUUUUUUCUUACGCCUGUGAAAGAAAGUAAAUAAGCAUGUUCUUAGCCCAGGGAGAUGAAGUAGUAAGGAUGGGAUGUGCAGCCCUACUCCUGGGAGCCGCUGUGGUGAGUGGCCAUCUGUGGCAGAGCAUCUCCCCCGUGUGUUUAAUUGUGGUCUUACCAUUCAUCUUCAGCACAGUCCCCGCUCUCUGGCUUGGUUCUGUACGCAGGAUUAACUUGCAGGAGUUACCUUGCAUUUGGGAGCUGUGCUAUGUGGGAGUGUUGGUCCCAGGCUCACGACUGGUUACAGGUUCAGGAAGGAUUCAGGAAAGGAUGAAGACAUCCUCACCUAUCCAACUUCUAGGAUACUUCUCUCUCCUUGGUCAACAACCUGGAAGACAAGAGAAGCAGACAGAUGGAGAAGAAAGAGGAUGAAUAGUACCUUCCUUCUUGGCUACUCACAGCUUUGUCUGGUUUUUCCCACUUGUCUGGUUUUUCCAAAAUCAUAGAAUCAAAAAGGCUGGAAAAGACCACUAAGAUGAUCUAGUCCAACCACCAACCCAUCCUCACCAUGCCGACUAACACAUGUUCCUCAGGACCACACCUACACGUUUCUUGAACACCUCCACAGGCGGUGACUCCACCACAUCCUUGGGCAGCCUGUUCCAAUGGCUCACCACUUUGUUUCUGAGAAGAAAUUUUUCCUAAUAUCCAGAAGAAUCAUAGAAAAAGACCACUAACAUCAUCUAUUCCAACCAUCAUCCCCAAAAGCAUUCCCAGACUCUCUACUCCCUGGCUAUACUCUGUUAGACAGGGCAUGAACACACUGCAAGCUUCAGCCCACCUCUGAGAGCCUUCACAGACUGGCUAGGGCUCAAGGUGGGCCUAGCAGAACAUUCAACCUGUAUUUUGACCUGCUGAGCACGGCCUUUUAGUGCAGGUCAUGCUGUGCAUCCUUAGCUGGGAAACAGAGAAAGAUGUGACUGGUGUUGUGUGGCUGCAUGGGGCAAAAGGGUGGCUUGUCCAAGGGGCAGAGGGUGGGAGAGGCUGCUGGGCUUUGCUGACCUGAGAAACUCUUCUCUGAGCCUGUGGCUGCUCCUGUCUGCAGAAAAGCUGCUGCUGCUGAUUGUGACACUGUGCUGCUCUCUCUGCUGUUAUUUGAUAUUCUUAAUGGAUAUGAGUUUCUAUA